UCCCUCUAUUUCCCUUUCCUAUUGGAUAGGAAACAUUGGUCUUUGUGGUCGUACCAGGAAGAAGUGUGAUACUGAAGCUGGCCUCACGGUGUUGUAGUCUGAUAUAUAGUAUUGGGCCAGUUUCAACCGAUG
Oryctolagus cuniculus (rabbit) is the source of this 132-nucleotide small nucleolar RNA. The record is from Ensembl. NCBI's taxonomy places the organism in Eukaryota, Metazoa, Chordata, Mammalia, Lagomorpha, Leporidae.